UGAGGAAUAUUGGUCAAUGGGCGAGAGCCUGACCCAGCCAAGUAGCGUGCAGGAUGACGGCCCUAUGGGUUGUAAACUGCUUUUAUGUGGGGAUAAAGUGCGUGACGUGUCAUGCAUUGCAGGUACCACAUGAAUAAGGACCGGCUAAUUCCGUGCCAGCAGCCGCGGUAAUACGGAAGGUCCGGGCGUUAUCCGGAUUUAUUGGGUUUAAAGGGAGCGUAGGCUGUCUAUUAAGCGUGUUGUGAAAUAUACCGGCUCAACCGGUGGCUUGCAGCGCGAACUGGUCGACUUGAGUAUGCAGGAAGUAGGCGGAAUUCAUGGUGUAGCGGUGAAAUGCUUAGAUAUCAUGACGAACUCCGAUUGCGCAGGCAGCUUACUGUAGCAUAACUGACGCUGAUGCUCGAAAGUGCGGGUAUCAAACAGG
Molecule: ribosomal RNA, 424 nt
Filed under: Fusobacteriota bacterium
Lineage: Bacteria; Fusobacteriati; Fusobacteriota
Description: Fusobacteria bacterium partial 16S ribosomal RNA
Rfam family: Bacterial small subunit ribosomal RNA
Source: RNAcentral